RNAcentral lists this ribosomal RNA (460 nucleotides) under uncultured bacterium. Its description in RNAcentral is "partial 16S ribosomal RNA". It matches the Rfam family "Bacterial small subunit ribosomal RNA", at positions 338 to 795 of the family's 1533-position model. The record is from RNAcentral.
CCUACGGGGGGCUGCAGUGAGGAAUAGUGGUCAAUGGACGAGAGUCUGAACCAGCCAAGUAGCGUGAAGGAUGACUGCCCUAUGGGUUGUAAACUUCUUUUAUAUGGGAAUAAAAUGUGCCACGUGUGGGAUUUUGUAUGUACCAUAUGAAUAAGGAUCGGCUAACGCCGUGCCAGCAGCCGCGGUAAUACGGAGGAUCCGAGCGUUAUCCGGCUUUAUUGGGUUUAAAGGGAGCGUAGGUGGAUUGUUAAGUCAGUUGUGAAAGUUUGCGGCUCAACCGUAAAAUUGCAGUUGAAACUGGCAGUCUUGAGUACAGUCGAGGUGGGCGGUAUUCGUUGUGUAGCGGUGACAUUCUUAGAUCUCACGAAGCCCUCCGAUUGCGAAGGCAGCUCACUGGACUGCAACUGACACUGCGGCUCGAACGUGUGUGUAUCAAACAGGCUUAGAUACCCCAGUAGUC